ACAGGUUGGUCAUACACUGAUUUGUGGCAGAAGCACAGAAAGGAAGUGUUUAGCUCUAGAAAGCCAUUCCAAAGAGGGAAUAAAGAGCACUAGCCGUGUCAAAUGCUGUGGUUCCUGCAACAGAGAAAUCUUCGCAGGGAUGGCUGAGGAGACUGCCAGCCGUGCGUAACAUCACUGCUGCAUAACACAUCUUUCCCUCCUAGAUUUGCCUCUCGCACCACUUAUUGUCUUGUGUCGUUCUGGUGAAGCGAGUUCUCUUCCCGUUCCUGGCAGGUAAGUGUCUAACACGUAGGAUUCAUAGGAUUCAUAGGAUUCUCGCCAAGGAAGUAAAUAAUUAAAUGAUAAGUC
This 348-nucleotide long non-coding RNA is filed under the name Struthio camelus australis. RNAcentral's name for it is "lncRNA (ENSSCUG00000003044.1)". The record is from RNAcentral. Lineage: Eukaryota; Metazoa; Chordata; Aves; Struthioniformes; Struthionidae.